Molecule: ribosomal RNA, 755 nt
Filed under: uncultured bacterium
Lineage: Bacteria
Description: bacterial SSU rRNA
Rfam family: Bacterial small subunit ribosomal RNA
Source: RNAcentral
UNUGACUUGAGUGCAGAAGGGGAGAGUGGAAUUCCAUGUGUAGCGGUGAAAUGCGUAGAUAUAUGGAGGAACACCAGUGGCGAAAGCGGCUCUCUGGUCUGUCACUGACGCUGAGGCUCGAAAGCGUGGGUAGCGAACAGGAUUAGAUACCCUGGUAGUNCACGCCGUAAACGAUGAGUGCUAGGUGUUAGGCCCUUUCCGGGGCUUAGUGCCGGAGCUAACGCAAUAAGCACUCCGCCUGGGGAGUACGACCGCAAGGUUGAAACUCAAAGGAAUUGACGGGGGCCCGCACAAGCGGUGGAGCAUGUGGUUUAAUUCGAAGCAACGCGAAGAACCUUACCAGGUCUUGACAUCCCGAUGCUAUUCUUAGAGAUAGGAAGUUACUUCGGUACAUCGGAGACAGGUGGUGCAUGGUUGUCGUCAGCUCGUGUCGUGAGAUGUUGGGUUAAGUCCCGCAACGAGCGCAACCCUUAUUGUUAGUUGCCAUCAUUAAGUUGGGCACUCUAGCGAGACUGCCGGUAAUAAACCGGAGGAAGGUGGGGAUGACGUCAAAUCAUCAUGCCCCUUAUGACCUGGGCUACACACGUGCUACAAUGGUCGGUACAACGAGUUGCGAGCCGGUGACGGCAAGCUAAUCUCUGAAAGCCGAUCUCAGUUCGGAUUGGAGGCUGCAACUCGCCUCCAUGAAGUCGGAAUCGCUAGUAAUCGCGGAUCAGCACGCCGCGGUGAAUACGUUCCCGGGCCUUGUACACACC